AUAUCUACAUAUGUAGAUUAGAAACUUUCGGUCGGGUUCAGUUUAAUUUUGAUCGGGUUAGUUAAUACAUUGUUGAGUCUUUUGAUCAGCAUGGACAUGGUUUGAUGUGUGUUCGGUACCACAUAACAUGCGAGAAUACCUUCUCCGGUAUGUUGGAGAGAAGAUUAGCAAGAAAAAAUCGCGUGAGAAAAUGAGAAGUUGACAGAAAAAGAUUUUUUUCAUUAUCGAAAGGGACAUGUACAACAUCCAUAAUGGUGUGUCUGAUGGAAUUUGUCAUUUCAUUAAUAAAUAAUGCUGAUAAAGAUGCAAACUUAGCAAUUGUGCCUAAAAAGUGACAGAUUUGACAAGGAAAUAUAUCCAUAUAUAACAGUUACUGGUACUGUCUGAAUGCAGUGAAAGGAUCCAGAUGAACAGAUGAAGAGAUUAAGUACAAUGUACAUCAAUUACUUGGAUGAAGAGAAUCUGCAACAUGGGGAAAUAAUGUUCCUAUAGAAAAGUCAAAGAAUGUAUACAUGUGAGAUUCUGAAGUAGCCGUACAUGAUGAGUAGGAAUUUGAAGUGAAUUAUG
Long non-coding RNA from Saccostrea echinata, 567 nucleotides. RefSeq lists it as uncharacterized. The transcript has 4 exons. The record is from RefSeq and is a predicted model, not a curated record. Lineage: Eukaryota; Metazoa; Mollusca; Bivalvia; Ostreida; Ostreidae.